GGGGAAUUUUCCGCAAUGGGCGAAAGCCUGACGGAGCAAGACCGCGUGGGGGAUGAAGGUUUGUGGAUUGUAAACCCCUUUUGAUUGGGAAGAAUACUGACGGUACCAAUCGAAUAAGCCUCGGCUAACUCCGUGCCAGCAGCCGCGGUAAUANCGGAGGAGGCAAGCGUUAUCCGGAAUUAUUGGGCGUAAAGCGUCCGUAGGUGGUUUAGUAAGUCUGCUGUUAAAGCGCGGGGCUUAACUCCGUAUUGGCAGUGGAAACUACUAGACUAGAGUGUGGUAGGGGUAGAGGGAAUUCCCAGUGUAGCGGUGAAAUGCGUAGAUAUUGGGAAGAACACCGGUGGCGAAAGCGCUCUACUGGGCCAUAACUGACACUGAUGGACGAAAGCUAGGGGAGCGAAAGGGAUUAGAUACNCCCUGUAGUC
This 425-nucleotide ribosomal RNA is filed under the name uncultured cyanobacterium. RNAcentral describes it as "bacterial SSU rRNA". It matches the Rfam family "Bacterial small subunit ribosomal RNA", at positions 356 to 795 of the family's 1533-position model. Lineage: Bacteria; Bacillati; Cyanobacteriota. The record is from RNAcentral.